Molecule: ribosomal RNA, 301 nt
Filed under: uncultured bacterium
Lineage: Bacteria
Description: partial 16S ribosomal RNA
Rfam family: Bacterial small subunit ribosomal RNA
Source: RNAcentral
CAGCAGCCACGGUAAUACUGAGGGUGCAAGCGUUAUCCGGAUUCACUGGGUUUAAAGGGUGCGUAGGCGGGCAGGUAAGUCAGUGGUGAAAUCUUCGAGCUUAACUCGGAAACUGCCGUUGAUACUAUCUGUCUUGAAUAACGUUGAGGUGAGCGGAAUAUGUCAUGUAGCGGUGAAAUGCUUAGAUAUGACAUAGAACACCGAUUGCGAAGGCAGCUCACUAAACGCUCAUUGACGCUGAGGCACGAAAGCGUGGGGAUCAAACAGGAUUAGAUACCCCGGUAGUCCCUGUCUCUUAUAA